AACAUCGCGCACCUGCGGGAACCUGCGGAGGGAUCAUUACCGAGUUUACAACUCCCAAACCCCUGUGAACAUACCUAUACGUUGCCUCGGCGGAUCAGCCCGCGCCCCGUAAAACGGGACGGCCCGCCCGAGGACCCCUAAACUCUGUUUUUAGUGGAACUUCUGAGUAAAACAAACAAAUAAAUCAAAACUUUCAACAACGGAUCU
This 207-nucleotide unclassified non-coding RNA is filed under the name soil metagenome. Its description in RNAcentral is "partial contains 5.8S ribosomal RNA, internal transcribed spacer 2, and large subunit ribosomal RNA". The record is from RNAcentral.